Molecule: ribosomal RNA, 500 nt
Filed under: uncultured bacterium
Lineage: Bacteria
Description: partial 16S ribosomal RNA
Rfam family: Bacterial small subunit ribosomal RNA
Source: RNAcentral
AUUGAACGCUGGCGGAAUGCUUUACACAUGCAAGUCGAACGGCAGCACGGACUUCGGUCUGGUGGCGAGUGGCGAACGGGUGAGUAAUGCAUCGGAACGUGCCCAAUCGGGGGGGAUAACGUAGCGACAGUUACGCUAAUACCGCAUACGAUCUAAGGAUGAAAGCGGGGGAUCGCAAGACCUCGCGCGAAUGGAGCGGCCGAUGUUAGAUUAGGUAGUUGGUGGGGUAAAGGCUCACCAAGCCGACGAUCUAUAGCUGGUCUGAGAGGAUGAUCAGCCACACUGGGACUGAGACACGGCCCAGACUCCUACGGGAGGCAGCAGUGGAGAAUUUUGGACAAUGGGCGCAAGCCUGAUCCAGCCAUUCCGCGUGCAGGAUGAAGGCCCUCGGGUUGUAAACUGCUUUUGUACAGAACGAAAAGCUCUGGGUUAAUACCCUGGGGUCAUGACGGUACUGUAAGAAUAAGCACCGGCUAACUACGUGCCAGCCGCCGCCGUAA